RNAcentral lists this small RNA (125 nucleotides) under Marmota monax (woodchuck). Lineage: Eukaryota; Metazoa; Chordata; Mammalia; Rodentia; Sciuridae. The record is from RNAcentral.
GCCAGGCGCGGUGAUGCACGCCUGUAAUCCCAGCGGCUUGGGAGGCUGAGGCAGGAAGAUCUCAAGUUCAAAGCCGGCCUCAGCAAGGGUGAGGCGCUAAGUACCUCAGUGAGACCCUGUCUCUA